UUGAAGGCCGGUGUAAGUGCACACAGCAGCAGAGCUGACCAUUUCUCUUCUUCAGCAAGUGCAGAACAGAGCCCGUGGUACAGAGUGGGGUCUACAUUUCCUGUUGCAGGAAAGGCAAGAAAAAGCUACGCUGUGUGGUAGCAAUUACUGCUUCAUACCAAUAAGCUUUAGUACAUUGCUACACCUGGCUCAUUUCUUGGAUGUUAUGCACAAGGGGUCUUUAUUAAUCACAGCAGUUGCAGGAAUGACCUGGAACACGCAGAGUAUUGAAAGAAGGUAUUCUACAUAACACAUGAAUACUUUGUGUGUCAGAGUAAUUAAGACUCAGAGCUGUGUUUAAAUGUUGUAACACUGCACACUUAAUAACAGUCUAGGGCUAGGCAGACCAUAAUUAAUUGCUCUCUAAAGCACAAUUUGUAAUAAGCAAUGUUGUCCUUACAACUCUGAUGAUUGAGAUCAUCUCUGAAUCAUCAGUUGAAAUGACACACCCAAAGUCAGCCAUUAUCUCUAUGUAUUCUUACUAUCAUGGUCUGAUAGGGAUGGUCUUUAAUAUUCAUGCAUAGAGCAUUCACAUCCAUGACAGCUCUUUAAUGCCAGAUCAGAUUUUUGGUAUUGUUGUUACUAAGCAGUAAAAGUGGUUAGUCUUAGCAGGAGGCCCUUAAUAAGUGAACUAACAACAGUUAAGUUUAAAAUAAAAUGGUAGUGUAUUUUAUGUAAUGUUACUUAAUUUAAAUUUAUAGUUCUAACAAACCUUAGAUCUUUCCAAAUUACAAAAGUUCUAAAAUUCUGGUAAUCAUGCAGCUAUGUAAAAUAUCAUCCUUUUGACAUACUAUUACAUAGAAUUCCUAAUCGGAAUGCUGAAAUAGACAGCAGAACCCCUUCAACUCACUCAGAGGAGACUAUGACUUUUAACUAAUGGAAAAAUGCAAACCAAUUAUUUGUUUACAUUGCAUCUGAUGGAAAAAUAUUGUUGGACAGGUGUCUUCCUCUGCUGUUUCCAUGGGAGGUGGUUUUUAGUUUGAUUACACUUGGAUGUUAAUAAACGUUUCAUUUCUAUUCUAGUUUGGUGCUGUUUUUCAUUAAAUCUCUUGAGACCAGCAGUAAGUAUGGUUUUUCUGUGUCCCUGAUGAUUCUGAAAUCUUGACAGUCAAAACACUGCAAGCAAUUUACAGCUUCCUCUGGCUUUAGCUGAAAUUAACUACCUGAACCUCAGAUAAUCAAGUGGCAAAUUUCCCUGGGUGUCACUCCAGUGCUGAAAUUUAUCCAUUGUCAGUAUUAUACAAGUUCCUUAUAUUUUUGGUGAAUUCUCACUUUGCAUUUCAACAGUUAAAGACAAGACUUCAUGUCCUUUGAUUUGCAGCCUUCAGAAACAUGACAGAUUAACUAAACUCUUUAGGUGGCUCUCUAAUUUCAGGGUGAGUUGUGUGACAGUGACAGUGUAAUUAAAACUACAAUUCUGAGCUUUUUCAUAUUUUUUUUCUAGCACACAUACAAGCUACUUGUAUCAUAUGAAAGGAAAGAAUAAUAAUUUCCUGUGCCUUUUUUUUUUUUUUACUGAAGAUUUAACUCACCGAUUGUAUCAGUCUCCCUUCUGCACCUCACAAUAAUGUAAACAGGUAGAUUUGUCAACACAUGUAAGUGGGUUUUCUUAUGAUUUCCUGGGAUGUAUCUGGUGGCUGUAGUCAGAGACAGCAUAUUUUCUGGAUAAAAUGGAUCUAAUCCAAUAUAGGUAAACCCAGAUCUAGUUUUGAUCAAGUUAUUACACCUCCAACGGCUUUGUUUCCCCAUUAAUACUAUGAACUUAAUGUACUGGUCUCCUUUUAAUGUGACACCAGAUUUAUAGAGGUGAAGUGCUGCUAAAUAACAUUUUAUCAUCAAGUCCUGCAUCCCUGGAACUUGGGUUAAGGUGAAGGUGUUUGCAUGUUGUUCAUUUGUUCUUUCUGAAAUAUCUAUCCGCUUUGCAUUUAUUUUUUAGAAGAUGGCAUAGAUUUUGAGGUUCAAGGAAAUGCUUCCUGCACUUGAAAGGAGCUGCCUCACUUUAUUGACCCUUUACAGCCUUAAGAUGUCUUAACUACAGGAGAGUUUCUGGCAUGACUCAUCCUGGAAUCGAACCUCCCAGGAAUGUACAUCAGCAGAGCAGAAUUGUAAAGUAAGCAGGUUUUCCCACUUCUGACUAUUUUUGGCUGAGGUUGAGAACCCCAUGUGUCUUAGAUUCCAUAUUUCUUAAGCUGAAGGCUCUUUUUAGAAGUUCUUGCACCUAAGAAAACCAGGGUGAAGACUGAAGAGCCUGCAGACCUGGUCUCCAGCUGAGAGAUACCCAGUGGGUGGGCUCCAGUUGGACUUGAAAAUGCGUGCACUGGGUGCUCUACAUGCUUUGCUUUAGCUGUGUGGCUUAUACAGUGGAGGUACAGCCUUCUGUUUUAGUCCUAAAGCUGCCAUUCUUCAUCUGUGGUCAAAACAAAAGAGUAGUAUUUUCUGCUAUGGAAAAGCUCCUUUCUAGUAAACUAAAAGCAGAGUGCUAAUAUUUUUUAAGUAUUUUGUUAAAACAAAUGUGGGUGAAGAAAACAUUUAAAAAUAUAACAGACGAAAUCUAUAUGGUUUGAAAUUUGAAGCAUUUCUAUUAUUGAAUGAUUGCUGUGAGGAGUCCUACUCUUUUCCUUUAAAAUUUUCAAAGAUAAACCACAUUCACACAUGAAAUUUGUUAAAGUUGUACUUGUAGCAUAGAUGCUAUGCAAAACAUAUUGUUAUUACAAAAGCAAGUAAUUUGAUAGUAAAUUUAAAUGAAGAAGAAAUGGGAUUUCUCCUCCUUCAAAUAACCUGAUUUUAAUGUUAAUGAAACCUUGACAAAAAUAAAAAAAUCUCAUGGAAGGGUAAAAGCUAUUGAGUAUUACAGAAAAGAACCACUUUAAAGUGGCCAAAAGAGCCUAAGGUGAUGCACAAGCACUGACCACAUUGCUCCUUCUGAGUUUUAUUCUGGUCAGAUGUAGUUGCUCUGGGUAAGGUGUGAAAGAACUGACAAAAUGUGCACAUGCUGUAGGCAGUCCAAAUGUGACAAAUAUGGUUUAGCAUGUUAAAAUCUGGGGGUUAGCUAAUUUUUUCAAGAGGUCACUUGCCCAAGAACAGUACGUGUUUGUUUUCAUGUCAGCGUACCCAAGAGAUGCAGCUUCUUGGUCUCCUCCCAUGUUUCUCUGUGGCCUUUAGUGGAGCCCAGUUACGAAGCUUUUUCCGACAUAAGCCCCUAUGCUGUACGAAAUAAGCCCCUAUGACAGAAGCCCCUGUGCCUGCAGAUGUUGACUGGCAGGGGGUCUGAGAAGCAGACUCCUUUCACAAACAGCCUUACCUGGCUGAAGAGUGUUAUCCCAAAUUUUGUUUAGAUGUGUCUAGUUGAGCAAAUUGUUGUUGAUGGUAGGUAUGCUGGGAUGCUUGUGUUCAUCAGUGAUUCUCUUCAGGUAUUUCAGCCUGCAAUAUCUCGCAUGUGCAAUGAAAAUAAUUCUUUCUUCUUAUGUGAGGGUUUAGGUGAAUAAUUUCUCUGAAGUUCUCCUGAUAUCUAUUUCAUCUUUGAGGGACAUAUUGAUGUAACAAUGAAUACACACAAAGAGUGUCAGCAGCCUGGAGAGCAGAGUGGGACUUCAGCUUUGUCUUUUCUCUGGUGCUUUCUCAGGCUACAUACAGUGUCCACAGUUCUCUGCCUUCAAAAAUAUCUCAGAUUAGCAUCCAAAAGUAUUAAUAUCUGUACACUUUGGAGAGGUAACAUAUGCAAAUAUAUAAUAUUUGAGUUGAGAUUUUUACUCAAGAAGGGGUAUGCGCACAAGAAUAUUUUCAAAGAAUUUAUAAAUUACUAUUGUCCUCUGCAGACCCUAAUUCCUUAUGCCAUGCAGUAGCUGGCAUUCCCCACCACCAGCCAACUAUAAUAAAUUCAUUCACAUACACAAACUUCAUUGAAGUCUUGUUUUUCUAGUUCUUAAAGACACUUCACCCAUGAUUGACAUGGUUUAGUUCAUAUGACACACCCUCUGAGCACUGCUGACCACAGAGAACGUUGAUUACCUAGUAUUAGGCUCCAUGUAUUUUCCAAAUUCUUCCCAUAGUUUACUGAUGACGCAAAGGAAGUAUUCUGUGCCAGUUCUGUGACCAUUGCAGAACAGCAAUACAAGUAGUAGAGCAAACACUCUGAGGUACAGAAGCUGCACAAGCCUCAACAGGUUAAGAAGAGUAAGAAAUAUGGGCUAUAGUUGGCCAGGAAUUGAUUUUUAAUGACAGGGAUACAGUAAAUUGUGCAUACCUGAGGAAAAAUCAAGAAUGUCACAGUCCUCUAUCCUCUUGUCUUGGUACAUGCAAGUAGAAGGCAGGAUACAGAUCACAGAAAUUACAUACUGAUCAUAUUAGAAUUUCAGGUGAAGAGUCAUGAAAUUAAAUAGGCAAAGGCGAUUCCCUUCUGAGUGAAAAUUUUGAAAACAGAACCAAGCAAAAGACUCAGAGAGAUUUCUCCACUGAGAAAUAUAUACUGCAUCUGGCAGCAUUUCAACUUUUCUUCUCCCACUACUCUAAGAGCAUAAUGAUGUUGUUAUUACAAAUGGGAAAUACCCAACAUGCCUUCUUGUGGCUUCAAGAAUAUUUGCAAUGAGGAAAAAAUACAUCUUUAUUCACACUGGAUUCAGUCUCACAUACAUUAAAAUAAUUAGAAAUGUACAGCUGUUCAGGUCUCUCCUAUCUUCAAUUUACUCUCUAAAUUACUUUCUUGAAUGAUUUUUAUCUUUUUAUUGACUCUCUUUUCCCACUUAGAAACACUACAGGUCCUCUUGACUAAUUACAGCAUUAAAACAACCAUUAUAAAGAGUUUCAAAGGAGCAGCUGAUCAAAUGAUCCUUAAAUGAUUUCCAAAGUUAAUUUAUGCCUAUUGUCUAGUCUUGUCUCUAGAUAAUUUAUUUCGUGUAAAAGAUGUAGAACUACUCAAGAACAUAAGGUCUGAAAGAGAAUUGUAUUGAAAAACUACAUAGACUUAAAAGCUUAAAUGUCAGACCAUGGUAAGAGAUAACAGAAAUUUGAAACAAAAAAUCAUCCCACUGAUGUUCCACAAUAUCUUUUAUGAGAGGACUUCUAUCAAAGCACUUGGUGAUACCUUUGUCAGAUGAAGCAUGCUGGCAUAGCUGGAUUUUGGCCAUAGUUCUAGCAAACACAAUCAGUUCUUUUAUAGUUUGGUGUAUUCCUCUUUAUUAGCCACAAAAAUAGGCAUUUGCUAAACAACUUUUCAGAAAAGGAGAACAGACAUUAAUAUUUAAAAAUAUUUAAAAAUAUUUAAACCAGUCUUGAUCUGGCUGUAACUUCUUCAGUUUUCAAAAUUCUACAGGAUAUUUAUAAAUUCCUGAAGAAACUGGAGCCGUAUUAGCUGUACUUUUACUACAUAAAAACCACUUCAUUGUAAUUGUUAUCUUUGAAAUUUUGAUGCAUUGUGAAAUGGCUUCAUAAAGUGCCAACCUCCCACAUAGGGGUGAAAUUGGCAAAUGAUUCUGUUAUUAAGGGUGUGUGUGUACACAUAUAUAUCAGUGUGAAUAAGGAUAUGCAAAUGUAUGUAGAUAUUCAUGUUCUAGAAACAGUUACAACUUUCAUUUUCAGCUCUGCGUGGGAGGCAGUUUCCUUCCAUGGAGAGCACACAUCUAUCUAUUGAGCAGAGAGGAGAACCCCAUGGUUAGUACUCAGCAGGAAAUGCUGAGUCCAGACUGCUGCCUCUAUGGUGUCUGACAGGACAACAGGAGCUUAGCAGCCUGCAGAGCCCAUCUGCCCUGAGAGGACAAAGCUGGGAUGCUGCUAAGCAAGCCUGUGGGUUAUCCUGCAUCUGCACGGGGCAGCAGGAAAGCAGGGUUACCCAUACACUCUGCAGCUGCUUUGGUUUGCCCAGCCUGUAGCUAAGGAAAUUAGGGGAAAGAACUGAAAGUACUGGGAGUGAUGGGAAAGGAUGAAUUUGUGAUUGGAUGCAGCGUAGAGGGUGUGUGAGAGGGGUCUGUGGCAGCUACAUGCUGGGUCACACUGUCCAUGCCUUACUGUCCACAGGGAACUCAACUGAAUGCCUUCCCACAGAACUUGCUCUUCCUGUGUGCCACCAGGGAAGCACUACAGUGUAUUCUACUGCUCAUGGACUAGGGAAAAGCCCUGCAUGCCAAUUAGUGCCAACAAAUUACCAAGGCAUCAGUAGUCAGUCUCCAGCAUGCUGAACACUCCCUAGAAUCUACAGCAAAUCCAGGUUUCUUGUCCUUGAGUUUAGAAAAGCAGUGUAUUAAUGCUAAAACUGCUUCUGAGGAGGAAGCUUCCUUGGAGACAGCCUAACUUUUAAAAAACAAAACUAAAAAUGAGUAAGACACAGGCUUAAGGAAAUGUUUGUUGUGUGUCCAUAACACUGACAUCCUGACCACUCCUUUAUUUUUUUUUUUUUUAAAUUUUAUAAAUUAUGUGUCUGGCUAUUGAAGUACUGUAGAUAGAAAGGGUUCUGCGGAGUACAAAGUGAAAUUUGGGCUGCUAUUCCAAAAUUAGGCUGGAUGAGAAUUUCCUAUAAAUGAGGCAGCUCAAAAUGUUACAGGGAUUUCUUGCCAAAUUUCUGAUCCCCACCUUAAAAUUUCUCUCCCAGCAAUCACGAGAUGAUGAAGCAAGCUCCAUAAUAUAUUAGUUUUCUCCUAAAGGCCAGAAGGAAUUGUUCUUUCCUUUGCUCAGAGAUAAGAAACCAACACUAUGUUUCCCAGUGCCACUAUGGUCUAAACUAAUGCCAGCACCAUCAUAAAUCCUGCCCUGCCAUCAGUUCCAUUUCAACACAAUCUGAAAGGACAUAACCAUUUUUUUUGUUACCAUAAACUGAAAGAAAAAACACACUUCUGUGACAGGAAAAAAAAUCUUGGAAUCAUGUCAAAGCAGAGAUGGAAGAACACAGAAAAAGAGCUAAGAACUGGAAUUUCUAUUAUGGUAUAAAAUAAGUAAGUUCUCCAUUUUCUGCUCAUGACCAGACAUGAAAGGUAUGCAGCAGCACUGCAUGUCAGGGACAUUCUUCUUAGUGAGGGACAAGUAUUUGCCUGCAUCCACAAGCUGCCAAUUCAAGGGUUCAAAACAUUUCGGGCUAAAGGAGGUACAUAAGGAGGGACCUGCUGAUGGACAUGCUGAGAGGCUUCCUUGGUCAGCUGGGGUUUUCUGAAAUGCAGGAAUCCCAGCCAGACCAGCACUGCAGGACUUGAUGCAACAAGGAAAGGGCUGUAAUAAAAGAUCAGUUAGAUGUUACACUGACCUU
This 7267-nucleotide long non-coding RNA is filed under the name Taeniopygia guttata (zebra finch). RNAcentral's name for it is "lncRNA (ENSTGUG00000029371.1)". Lineage: Eukaryota; Metazoa; Chordata; Aves; Passeriformes; Estrildidae. The record is from RNAcentral.